RNAcentral lists this ribosomal RNA (867 nucleotides) under uncultured Burkholderia sp. RNAcentral describes it as "bacterial SSU rRNA". It matches the Rfam family "Bacterial small subunit ribosomal RNA", at positions 1 to 870 of the family's 1533-position model. The record is from RNAcentral. Lineage: Bacteria; Pseudomonadati; Pseudomonadota; Betaproteobacteria; Burkholderiales; Burkholderiaceae.
AUUAGAGUUUGAUCAUGGCUCAGAUUGAACGCUGGCGGCAUGCCUUACACAUGCAAGUCGAACGGCAGCGCGGGGGCAACCCUGGCGGCGAGUGGCGAACGGGUGAGUAAUACAUCGGAACGUGUCCUGGAGUGGGGGAUAGCCCGGCGAAAGCCGGAUUAAUACCGCAUACGCUCUACGGAGGAAAGCGGGGGACCGAGGCCUCGCGCUCAAGGAGCGGCCGAUGGCGGAUUAGCUAGUUGGUGGGGUAAAGGCCCACCAAGGCGACGAUCCGUAGCUGGUCUGAGAGGACGACCAGCCACACUGGGACUGAGACACGGCCCAGACUCCUACGGGAGGCAGCAGUGGGGAAUUUUGGACAAUGGGCGAAAGCCUGAUCCAGCAAUGCCGCGUGUGUGAAGAAGGCCUUCGGGUUGUAAAGCACUUUUGUCCGGAAAGAAAACUUCGCCUCUAAUACAGGUGGAGGAUGACGGUACCGGAAGAAUAAGCACCGGCUAACUACGUGCCAGCAGCCGCGGUAAUACGUAGGGUGCAAGCGUUAAUCGGAAUUACUGGGCGUAAAGCGUGCGCAGGCGGUGAUGUAAGACCGAUGUGAAAUCCCCGGGCUUAACCUGGGAACUGCAUUGGUGACUGCAUUGCUAGAGUAUGGCAGAGGGGGGUGGAAUUCCACGUGUAGCAGUGAAAUGCGUAGAGAUGUGGAGGAACACCGAUGGCGAAGGCAGCCCCCUGGGCCAAUACUGACGCUCAUGCACGAAAGCGUGGGGAGCAAACAGGAUUAGAUACCCUGGUAGUCCACGCCCUAAACGAUGUCAACUGGUUGUUGGGGAUUCAUUUCCUUAGUAACGAAGCUAACGCGUGAAGUUGACC